GCUUACCAUCUCUUAAACAUUACAAUCAUUUGGUACUCGAUUAUUUAUGGAAAAUGAAUCAUCGAUGUUCGUUCAACUCCGAUUAUGUAUUACCUUCAUGUUUCUGACCUGAUACACUCACUUCCAGAUCUUAUUAGUCCGAGUAAUUGAGAUAUUUUUACUAUUUUUGUUCUUCUUUUCAAACUAGGGUUUGCCUAAUUCUUCUUAAAUUGAUUC
This 216-nucleotide long non-coding RNA is filed under the name Nicotiana benthamiana. RNAcentral describes it as "long non-coding RNA (NBEN_LNC000517)". The record is from RNAcentral. Lineage: Eukaryota; Viridiplantae; Streptophyta; Magnoliopsida; Solanales; Solanaceae.